Rhea pennata is the source of this 1844-nucleotide long non-coding RNA. RefSeq lists it as uncharacterized. The transcript is spliced from 2 exons. Lineage: Eukaryota; Metazoa; Chordata; Aves; Rheiformes; Rheidae. The record is from RefSeq and is a predicted model, not a curated record.
UUAUCCACGGAAGCGGCUGAGUUUUGUCGGCGCCUCCGUCACCAGCUGCAGCCUCCCGCCGGCCCCGCGUCGGCGCGGAGGGGACAAGACCUGCCCCGGCCCCUUCCCUGCACUCAUCCCAGGGCCCUCCGCACGAACCAGAGACGACGCCUCUCAGAGGCUCCCAAAACCCAAAAAACCUUGUCCACCGCAGAGACCUGAAGGGAGAAAAGCAAAGUCCGGAACAAGAGGGGCCUGGCGAGGGCUGAGCCAGGGCUUAGCACCCCUGGGAGCAGGCAGCUGUCGGCAUCAGGAAUUAGGGCUCGAUUUCCUAGCGCGGAAACGCGCCUCUGCCGGCUCCGCAGGAGAGCGUUUCUCAAGAGCUUAGCUAUCGCCUGCGGCAGAAAUAUCAAAGUCCAAGAGAGAUAAGGCCACGCUGUUUAAUACCCUAUUAAAAACGCCUUAACCCCCAAAGGCACGGGAGCCAGCAAGGGCUGCCCGGCCGAGCAAGCCGCCGGGGGAUUAGGGAAGGGGACGCUCGGAGCGCAGCCGCCGCGGCUCGCGGGAAGCCGGCGCCGCCGGCAGAGCCCGCUCGGAGCUUUGCGUCCGCGGCGGCCGUGCAAACUCCGCUCCCGCUGCCUAAGGUUACUUCUGCGGCUGGGGGAACGGCGGCCAAGCCCGGCGAGAUCCGCCUUUCCCAAUCCCCCCGUAAUCUCCCCGCCAUCCUGCUAGGAAAAGGCCCGGCCGUCUAGUGUUUUUGGCACAGCCCCUCUCGCUCCUGCCUGGCUGGCUAGGCAGACCCUGCGAAGCGUGGAGAGCAAAUCCGCAGCGAGGCGCGGGCCAAGCGACUGCGGCGCUCGUAAGAAACCAAGAGCAACUGGUAGGAAAGUACGGAGAGCAGACACGGGGUUACACGCGUGUCCCUGGGGCAUGGAGGAGCUAACGCGCUGCGGUGCUGCCGCGGCGGGCAAAACCCUGAAACGAGUGGGAGAGGAAAGCGCUCUAUUUAUAGCCCAAAUCCAGCGCGUUUGCACGUGUUUAUCGCUGAGCACAUGUCCCUGCGCGCUGCCGGCGGAGGGCGGAGGGAGGAGCACCUUCGAAAGCGAGCGCGCGCUGAAGAGCUUUUCCGGAGGCCCAACCAUCCCCUUUUCCCGUGUCGCCGCUCAGCUCCCUGGAAGGAAGCACCCGACGGGGCCGGCUCUGCCCGGACGCCAGUGGAAAUUCUACCUGCGCCUUUGAAACCGGCUCCUCCUGGUCUGAGGUGGCAAAGAGGCUGCGGACUAUACCGACGGAGCUGUGGACUUCCUAUCACUGAGAUUAAAUAAACCGAACCAGGAAGGGGAAGAAUUGGAGCUGAAGCAUGCACUGGUCAUCGCCUCAGCUGAACGUGGUCCCAGUGUCCUGCGCCCAGCCUACCUCCACCCACCAGCAGACUUCCACAACACCAGCAGCUUCCAGCAACAGGAGCUUAGUCACACACUGCCCCGCAGGCAGCAGCGGUUCAAAGGGCAGGUGCAGCAGUGGCUCUGCUUAAGAAAACUGUUUUGCCACGGUUUGCCAGGGUCCAUGAGAGCAUCCUCCGGGCAAAAUUAUCGAUUGCUCUGAAUUAAAUUCUGGCUUGAGCCAAGGGUGGGCACCUAUGAACUCAGCAUCACCCAAAGGCAAUCACGGCCUGGGCGGAGGGCGACACGCGCCUUGCAGAAGCAGUUUGCUUCACCUACCACUCUGCAAUUUUGAAGUCUCUACAAAACACACUCUCCACUUCAGAAUUAAUCCUCUGUUUACAGUGAAAGCUAAUUUCGCCUUUAACUGACCCAGUCCCCACACGGUGUCAUUAUUAAAGUCAUAAACAAGUACCAAAAAAA